Non-coding RNA from Equus caballus (horse), 277 nucleotides. The record is from Rfam. NCBI's taxonomy places the organism in Eukaryota, Metazoa, Chordata, Mammalia, Perissodactyla, Equidae.
ACACAAUCUUAAAAUCUAUCUUAGAGAAUUCUUUCCAAGUAUUUCUUCUGUGUUUUUUUAACCUGUAAAAGAUAAUGGAAUAUAUUUUAUAGACUGGAUCUUAUCUUAUCUCUUUUUCCUCUCCUGACUGCACUCAGUUUAAUAGUUGUCAGUUUUUCCUCAGUGUUGGAUUUAAUUAUGUAGGACCAAAAGAUUCCUCAGUAAAUUAGAUUGCUGAAUAUUCUGUUGUUUGUGUGAUUUCGCCUUUGAGAAACAGCUUAAUUACAGAAAUUUAUCU